GAGAGAGGCUUGCCGCAAUGAAGACUGCUAAUCUUCACCCCUUUGGUUAAACCCCAGAGCUCACUCG
This 67-nucleotide transfer RNA is filed under the name Tetraodon lineatus. RNAcentral's name for it is "tRNA-Ser". Lineage: Eukaryota; Metazoa; Chordata; Actinopteri; Tetraodontiformes; Tetraodontidae. The record is from RNAcentral.